AACCCGUGAUAAACUAAUCUUGAAACAAUAACAGGUCAAACAGCCGGUGCUUUUCCUCUCUGGACUGCAAGAUGAGAUGGUCCCUCCAUUUCACAUGAAAUUGCUGUAUGCGAAAGCAGCUGCCCGUAAUCCUCAGUGCACCUUUGUGGAGUUUCCAAAUGGGAUGCAUAUGGAUACAUGGCUUUCUGGUGGUGACCUUUACUGGAAAACAAACGUGCAGUUUCUUGAAAAGCAUGCGGCUGAGAAAGGAAGGACGAUAGGGGAAGGUAAAUGAGUUGAUGAUGUUGUGAUUAGAGGAGGAUUUGACUCACUUGGCUCCUACAACUGCAACUUGAAACGACAGUAUCUUUAUAAGGCAUGUUUAUACGUAUGUUGCAUUUGGGAGUGAUAGAUACAACCUGUUCUGAGAGUGAGAUAUUGGAGAGAUACUUUGUAAGCAGAACCAGCUAGUGGAGAUGGCAAAUGUAGGUUAAUCAGAUGCAUUUGCUUCGUCUCAUUUUUGUUUUUUUUUUUGGUUAUUUUUUCAAGUGUUGGUGUUUCUCUCUCUGAUCGUAACCAUUUUCCUCUGAAUGAUCAUUGCUGUGUAGAUGAUUGAGAAAGUGCAAAGACAUGGUUAUAUAAUUAAAAUCUUGAAUUUGUCUAUCA
Camelina sativa (false flax) is the source of this 645-nucleotide non-coding RNA. The record is from RefSeq and is a predicted model, not a curated record. NCBI's taxonomy places the organism in Eukaryota, Viridiplantae, Streptophyta, Magnoliopsida, Brassicales, Brassicaceae.